Regulatory RNA element from Gasterosteus aculeatus (three-spined stickleback), 54 nucleotides. It matches the Rfam family "UnaL2 LINE 3' element". Rfam says of the family: The eel long interspersed element (LINE) UnaL2 and its partner short interspersed element (SINE) share a conserved 3' tail containing a stem-loop that is critical for their retrotransposition. Presumably, the first step of retrotransposition is the recognition of their 3' tails by UnaL2-encoded reverse transcriptase. NCBI's taxonomy places the organism in Eukaryota, Metazoa, Chordata, Actinopteri, Perciformes, Gasterosteidae. The record is from Rfam.
UUUAAAGUGUAAUGUAAGUAGCUUUGGAUAAAAGCGUCUGCUAAAUGACAUGUA